RNAcentral lists this ribosomal RNA (253 nucleotides) under uncultured bacterium. Its description in RNAcentral is "partial 16S ribosomal RNA". It matches the Rfam family "Bacterial small subunit ribosomal RNA", at positions 524 to 776 of the family's 1533-position model. The record is from RNAcentral.
GACAGAGGAGCCAAGCGUUGUCCGGAUUGACUGGGCGUAAAGCGCACGCAGGCGGCGCUGCGCGUGGGGUGUGAAAGCUCUUGGCUUAACUGAGAGAGGCCAUCCCAUACGGCAGUGCUCGAGCGGUGCAGAGGUCCGCGGAAUUGCCGGUGUAGUGGUGAAAUGCGUAGAGAUCGGCAGGAACACCCAGGGGGAAACCAGCGGACUGGGCAUCAGCUGACGCUCAGGUGCGACAGCGUGGGGAGCGAACCGG